RNAcentral lists this long non-coding RNA (1526 nucleotides) under Nicotiana benthamiana. RNAcentral's name for it is "long non-coding RNA (NBEN_LNC030283)". The record is from RNAcentral. Lineage: Eukaryota; Viridiplantae; Streptophyta; Magnoliopsida; Solanales; Solanaceae.
GGUACUCUUGCCUCCCUCGUACACCUGCAUCAACUCGCACAUUCCUAACAGCAGAUAAGCUCUAGCCAGAUGUCCACCUGCACUUCCCUCGGGAUUCUGGCAGUCUUCAAUUCUUUUCAAGAACUUCCCUUCUAACUCCACUAUACCUCGCUCCAGAUAUCCCAAAUGGUUGUUGGCGUUGACAGCCAUAUCCUUCCACUCGUUGAUCAUCUUCUCGUGGGAUUUCUGUAUUUCUCGAUGUUCAUUCUCACAUUCUCGCAUCAUAUUGUACAGUUGAUUGUAGUAGACUUAUGCUUCAGUUUUCUCAUCAAUAACCCUAUGACCGUGGACGAAUCCUGGACGACCUAAACCAAUGUGAUCAUCUUCCAACCAAACUGUGUAGUGCGGUACACACCUGACAUGAUACCUGUCUGGUUCAAUAGACUCUUUCCCAAAGACGAGCUUGUAGUGCCACAUAUCUUGAGCAUGAUAUCUGUGCGGACUAUCAUCAUCUUGAAAGCCAGCCUUGAAAUGACUCAUUUUCUCUAUCCUGGGUAUGAUUUGUUUUCUUCCAGUUUAUCUCAUGGACCGGAGAGGGACAUAAGGAUGAGUUCCCCUAAGACCAAUGAGUAUGAGGAAUGGUGCAUCUCGAGAACGGCAAUGAACUCCCCUAUUAGGAACCACUCGAACAUCCACUGAACUUGCUCUUUUAGAUUUUCAAACAACUCUACCCACCCACUGGCGUCUAUGGCUGAGCGAACAUGUUGGGCAUGAAGUUCAUUCGCUUUGGGUGAUAGAAAGAGAUAUGGUCAUCCCAAUUCCUACCGAUGAUUUCCUAUCUGUAGUUGCCUUUCUAAAGGUGUUCUAUGAGCCAAAGUUGAAGUAGCAUAUUACAACCCUUGAAAUGCAGAGCCCCUUGCUGACACUAUCCCAAGGCUCGAUAGAUUUCAGCGAUGAUCAUAGGCACUAUGCUGAAAGACUGGUUGUCAAUACCCUCUAUUAAGGUCUUGGUGAUCAUGGCUAGUCUGGUGUGGAUCCUACCCUUCUUCAUGGGAAAAAUUACCAAUCCCAAGAAGCAAAACAUGAACACAAAGACCCUCCUAUGUAUGUACCCCAAAGAGGUGAGGGCAAACUCAUCAGUGUAAGUGCGAUAAGACUUGUUCUGGCCAUAUCUCUCGUACAACAAGUCAAAUGUUUUGUAGGAGUCCUUCAAGCAAGCUAUGUCGGGAUUCUUCUUGAGUCCCAUCAUCUAAAGAAAGCCUCUACUUUUGCAGUUUUCCGGCAUAAGCAAACCCAGAGUCUCCCAAAGGAUACCAGCUAGACCCACUAUCUCUUCUAGUAAAGGGGUCAUUUCCAAACCUCUGAAGCGGAACACCGAUCGAUCACUAUCCCAAAACAGAGUGACAGCCUCUAUGAUCUUGUUGUUAGGCUGGAUUUCCAGAAGUGAGGGCAAAUUUCCUAAGUACUUGCGGACGAGGGUUUGCUCACUGGCAUGAAGAUCUUCCCACUAGCUUAACAACCUUGGGUGAAUGUUUGAUACCAUACUG